This 213-nucleotide ribosomal RNA is filed under the name uncultured prokaryote. RNAcentral's name for it is "partial 16S ribosomal RNA". It matches the Rfam family "Bacterial small subunit ribosomal RNA", at positions 524 to 742 of the family's 1533-position model. The record is from RNAcentral.
GACGGAGGGGGCAAGCGUUAUUCAUCCUUAUUGGGCGUAAAGGGUAUGUAGGUAAUGAAAAGUGUUUUUACAAAAAAUUCAGGUACCAUCUUGAGAUUUAAAAACAUUGAUUAAUUCGAGAUAGUGGAGGUUGGCGGUAUUACUAAUGUAAAGGUAAAAUCUUACGAUAUUAGUACGAAUACCAGGGGCGCAGGCGGCUUUCUUUAUUAUCUG